CAGUCAGUGGCCACAACUUGUGGGGCACCUGUCCUGGAAGGAUAGGCAGUCUGGACUAUCUUGUGGGAUAUUUAGUGCUUCGGAGUCCAGAAUACAACUGAUGGCCAAGGAAGAUGACAUUACGCCUGAGCCAUUUACCAACAAAACGACACCUGCAGAUUUGCCAGGGCAUUGAUGUCUGCUCAGUGCCUGGCCCCUGGCUGGCACCUUGUCUCUUGGAUGCUGUCCAUCUACUACAUGAGUUUUGACUGAAAUAUCAGCAUGAGGAAGCAUUCAUGUGAUCUACUGUGAAUGCAGAGACUCCUAGCUGGCGAAAGUACCGAGAAUACAGGACUGCAAAUUGAUUCCCAAUAUCUUUGUCUGAUGACCCAAAACGGCC
This is a long non-coding RNA of Mastomys coucha (southern multimammate mouse), 379 nucleotides long. RefSeq lists it as uncharacterized. Lineage: Eukaryota; Metazoa; Chordata; Mammalia; Rodentia; Muridae. The transcript has 4 exons. The record is from RefSeq and is a predicted model, not a curated record.